GAUGAAGAACGUAGUGAAAUGCGAUAAUUAAUGUGAAUUGCAGAAUUCAGUGAAUCAUCGAGUCUUUGAACGCACAUUGCGCCCCCUGGUAUUCCGGGGGGCAUGCCUGUCCGAGCGUCAUUGCUGCCCUCAAGCACGGCUUGUGUGUUGGGCUUCCGUCCCUGGCAACGGGGACGGGCCCAAAAGGCAGUGGCGGCACCAUGUCUGGUCCUCGAGCGUAUGGGGCUUUGUCACCCGCUCCCGUAGGUCCAGCUGGCAGCUAGCCUCGCAACCAAUCUUUUUACCCAGGUUGACCUCGGAUCAGGUAGGGAUACCCGCUGAACUUAAGCAUAUCAAUAAGCGGAGGA
RNAcentral lists this unclassified non-coding RNA (347 nucleotides) under soil metagenome. RNAcentral's name for it is "partial contains 5.8S ribosomal RNA, internal transcribed spacer 2, and large subunit ribosomal RNA". The stretch from base 1 to 120 matches the Rfam family "5.8S ribosomal RNA", at positions 35 to 154 of the family's 154-position model. The record is from RNAcentral.